GGAUGAGUAGCUCAGCUGGCAGAGCAACGGACUCUUAAUCCGUGGGUCGCGGGUUCGAUCCCCGCCUCAUCCA
This 73-nucleotide transfer RNA is filed under the name Lactobacillaceae bacterium. RNAcentral's name for it is "tRNA-Lys". It matches the Rfam family "tRNA". From Rfam's summary of the family: Transfer RNA (tRNA) molecules are approximately 80 nucleotides in length. Their secondary structure includes four short double-helical elements and three loops (D, anti-codon, and T loops). The record is from RNAcentral. Lineage: Bacteria; Bacillati; Bacillota; Bacilli; Lactobacillales; Lactobacillaceae.